GUACGGUUUUAAACAGUAAACAUAUUGCAUUGUAGUAUCAAAGAGUAGAUAAAUUGUAAACAACAACAAAAGUCCAUUAUUUAGAGCUUUUAGAAGAGAAACUAAUAUUCUGCAUGCAAAAAAAGUUUCACAGAACCUAAACGUAAACUAUAUUGAUCUGUUAAAUUUUACUUUCACUGUAUGUAAUGCAUUUAUACUAUGAUAGAAUAAAGUUCAACAAAAAAAACCAAGGCCCUGUUUACACAGAGAAAUCAAGAUUCAUGAUUGAAAGUUACAAAGUGACUGGUUUUGCAGUCUCAUGCAGGCUGGGUUUAGGAAACUCAGGUGGUGAGCCUCUGAAUAACUGUUAUGCAGUUAUUUCUUGCAUAGAGAUGAAUGAAUCCGAUAUGUUAAUUCAGUAAAUCGUCCAAAAGACAUGCUAAUGUAUUUAUUCCACCAAAUUAUUUUGGCAUUCACAAAUAUUUGAUCACGCCUUUACUACAUCGAAACUGGAGAGCAGCUGUUGAGAUUUGGGAAUCUUGCAGAGACUUGGAGGGUUUAUCCCUGCUGUAACCAAAGUAGAAUGUAGUUAAAUACUAUUUUAUUUUGAUAGUUUUAAUAGUUAAAUUCUGAACUGAAUUGGCAAAUUCAAUGUUGAGGAAUUGUUAUUUAGUCUCUGCUCAGGUUAGUAAGACAGGGAACAUAAUGAGGAAAGAAAUGUUUGGUGAUAGCCAGACAUUUUGUUGCCUUUUCUUUUUGUAGAUUUUAAAUGACAGUGUGUGAAAGUCUGCAAAAAAUAACUAGCUACAUUUUAGGCAUUCUGUAUUAGUAGAUAGUGUGUUUGUAUCAACUGAUUAGUAUUUCACAGAACAAAACAGGAUAAUGUAGAUGCAUACGAAACGUGUAUCUUGAACAGACUGCAAACUACAGAACAAUUCAAAACGUCUUUCAUCUGUUCUAACACAACAUUUUGUUUUGACUAGCUCAAGGCUUGACGGUCCUGCAAAUUGCAUAACUUGCAAUAUAGUAUACUAUUUAUGUCACACCGCACAUACACACGGUGGAGAGGAAGGAACCAUUCGAAACCUAAAGUUAAAAAUCGCCCAAUUAUUUUGUUUUGCUGCAAGUUUCUAAGUAACAUUGUAUUUUAGUGCAGUCAUAAAAUUUGCUUCCAGUGGAGUAUGUACUAAAAAAAAUAAUUAAAUUUUGUGAUUAUAUUUCCUAUGGGUUCAGUAUAUCAGAUUUUAAUGUUUAAAAGAAAAGUGCGGACUAAUCUAAGCACUCAAUUGAAAAUUACUGCAAAAUAUAGUCUUUACUUGGAGCAACUGAUGCCUGGGAACAUAUGUUGGGGCUGUAAAUAAUU
Amblyraja radiata (thorny skate) is the source of this 1342-nucleotide long non-coding RNA. RefSeq lists it as uncharacterized. The record is from RefSeq and is a predicted model, not a curated record. The transcript is spliced from 2 exons. NCBI's taxonomy places the organism in Eukaryota, Metazoa, Chordata, Chondrichthyes, Rajiformes, Rajidae.